GACGAACGCUGGCGGCAUGCCUAAUACAUGCAAGUCGAGCGAAUGAUGAAGAAGCUUGCUUCUUCUGAUUUAGUGGCGGACGGGUGAGUAACGCGUGAGCAACCUGCCUUUCAGAGGGGGAUAACAGUUGGAAACGACUGCUAAUACCGCAUAACGUAUUGAGACCGCAUGAUUUUGAUACCAAAGCUGAGGCGCUGAAAGAUGGGCUCGCGUCCGAUUAGAUAGUUGGUGGGGUAACGGCCUACCAAGUCGACGAUCGGUAGCCGGACUGAGAGGUUGAUCGGCCACAUUGGGACUGAGACACGGCCCAG
This 311-nucleotide ribosomal RNA is filed under the name uncultured bacterium. RNAcentral describes it as "bacterial SSU rRNA". It matches the Rfam family "Bacterial small subunit ribosomal RNA", at positions 28 to 334 of the family's 1533-position model. The record is from RNAcentral.